This 320-nucleotide ribosomal RNA is filed under the name uncultured eukaryote. RNAcentral describes it as "partial 18S ribosomal RNA". It matches the Rfam family "Eukaryotic small subunit ribosomal RNA", at positions 1470 to 1796 of the family's 1831-position model. The record is from RNAcentral.
CCCCUAGAUGUUCUGGGCCGCACGCGCGCUACACUGAACAGUUCAACAAGUCUUAACCUUGGCCGAUAGGUCUGGGUAAUCUUUGAACGCUGUUCGUGAUUGGGAUAGACCUUUGCAAUUAUGGGUCUUCAACGAGGAAUUCCUAGUAAACGCAAGUCAUCAGCUUGCAUUGAUUACGUCCCUGCCCUUUGUACACACCGCCCGUCGCACCUACCGAUUGAAUGGUCCGGUGAAAUCUCGGGACGGCGGCUUGGUCGCUUGCGUCCGACUGCUGAAACUUGAUUAAACCAUAUCAUUUUGAGGAAGGUAAAGUCGUAACA